Molecule: long non-coding RNA, 537 nt
Organism: Phyllopteryx taeniolatus (common seadragon)
Lineage: Eukaryota; Metazoa; Chordata; Actinopteri; Syngnathiformes; Syngnathidae
Exons: 2
Source: RefSeq, a predicted model, not a curated record
GUGCGCCCGAGUUCCCCACAUUGCCGUUGAAGAGGAUGAAGUAGAGACCCUUGACGGGAGCCGUGAAGAUGCCUGUGGGGUGGAGACCACCGGAAUCUUAGCACUAAGUGUGGGAAUCGAUAAGUGCGUCUAACGUAUUCCCCCUGUGACAAACGGGGGUUCACUGGACAAGUGGGUUGAGGCGAGACGAGAUGUCGCUUGGUCAGAGAGGCGAUGACGUCCUACCUGUGUUGGAGUCGUAGCCGUUGCCCUCGUUGGUGAUCACUUUCCUGAACACCAGGGUGGUGUCUGUGUUGAAGGGGCCCAGGUGGAUCCACUCCGAUGUGGUGAACAACGCCGCCGCGAAGGAGACCGGCGCUUUGGCUGCACAAACACACCACAAAGAUGAGGUUCAUGUUUCAACUCAUCAACUGACCUCGUUCUGAACAUAUCAUCUUCUCAACUGACCUGCUUCAGCGGCGUCGCUCUCCAGCUUGUCCACACGUGCCGCCAGCUGUUUCACGAGGACUUUUGUUUCGUGUUCAAACUCUAUGCGCU